GGCACUUUAGUUUAUAAAAAAUUAAAAUUUUGUACAUUUUAGAACUACGGAAGUGCCU
Molecule: transfer RNA, 58 nt
Filed under: Tigriopus kingsejongensis
Lineage: Eukaryota; Metazoa; Arthropoda; Copepoda; Harpacticoida; Harpacticidae
Description: tRNA-Thr
Source: RNAcentral